CUGGGGUGAAGUCGUAACAAGGUAACCGUAGGGGAACCUGCGGUUGGAUCACCUCCUUACCUUAAAGAAGC
Molecule: ribosomal RNA, 71 nt
Filed under: Escherichia coli
Lineage: Bacteria; Pseudomonadati; Pseudomonadota; Gammaproteobacteria; Enterobacterales; Enterobacteriaceae
Also listed under: 1 other name
Description: partial 16S ribosomal RNA
Rfam family: Bacterial small subunit ribosomal RNA (bases 1-59)
Source: RNAcentral